This is a long non-coding RNA of Calypte anna (Anna's hummingbird), 1777 nucleotides long. RefSeq lists it as uncharacterized. Lineage: Eukaryota; Metazoa; Chordata; Aves; Apodiformes; Trochilidae. The record is from RefSeq and is a predicted model, not a curated record. The transcript has 4 exons.
CUGAGGGCAGCGCCUGAGGCCGCGACCCCGGGAGGUGUCCCGGGGGUGUCCCCGGGGUGUCCCGGUGGGGCCCCCGACCAAACCCAGCCCCACAGAUGAGGGAAUCCGCCCCCAGCGUUAAGGGGUGGGCAGGGGACUCUUUCCCCUCCGGCUACCUGGAGCUCGGCCCUGGAGAUGAAGCGGUUUUCUGGUGGUAAUGAUAAGAAAAAUUUGACAGAAAUUCUGACAGAAAAAAGUGAGGCUGGGGCUUGAUGAACACUUCCCUUCGCCCAGCGCGGCCCCCGUGGUGGAAAUGGCUCGGGUACCGUCGCUGAAUUAGGAGAUGGACCAAACUCCGCACGCAGGGUGGAUCAUAAGCAGAACCAAAAGGCCACACCAGAAACUUCUGCUACCUUGACUGAUUUUUCUUCUGCUUUCCAAAGCUAAGACCUGCAUUGUGAUCUACAAAGAGAAGGAGCAGGGCCCAGCAGCAACUUGGACUUCCCAGAGUCACCCCCUCAGUGCCUGAGCAAGAAGCUUCAUUCCUCUCAAGGCUUUUCAGUCCUUGGCCUCUUGCUGGAGAACCACAUCUAUGAUUCAGAUGAAACACCCCUCUGAAAGGCUGGUGCCAUUUACACAUUUUCAGUGAAGAAUCCUGGAUCCAGAAACCCUUCUGGUGCUGCUGGCUGGGAGAACCUGGUCUUGGGGACAACUACCAGUCAAUUCUUGGGGACAGUGCAGGCAACUGAAGAUUUGAUGAGAUGAGAAUCACCCACGAAUUUGUGAGAGCAGCAGAAAGAAGACUGGAAUGCAGGCAAAGGGAGUGUUUGUGGUCUUUACCUCCGUGUGGGAUCCACAGCGAUGGCUCUCGGCUCACUGAGGUCACUGUUGAAAAGUGUCCUCCUCCUGCUGCCAUCUGCAGUGGCCACUGAGAUGGUCUUGUUCCCAGAAUCUGUCCAGUAGAUAUUCUUAUGAACCCAGUCUAUUGCCAGUCCCUCAGGAGAGUUCAGCUGGCUGUCUAUCAGAAUCACCUGCUCAGCCGUGUCACUCGCUUUGUCUAUGUAGGCACUGCAAAGAGAGGACUUGUCACAGGUGACACAGCACAGACAGGGACACACACACACCUGACACACCUGCCUGGGGCUGGACCUCAGGUAGCACCACUGCAUCCCCAUGGAAAGAAAGUGCACAUGUAGCAGCAUGACUGACACAACACAAAGCCCCUCACAGCUGGAUGCUGCAACCUUCCGCUUUCUCCUACAACUUGUUCUUCUUCUCCUAUACAUUACAGGAAGUGUUUCCCAAAUUUCCCAAACUGGGAACUGUCAUUUUUUUUUUCUACCCGCUUCCUUCUAUAACUGCACAACUCAGCAAAACAUUUGACUUCAGGCAUGUUAAUAACUUCAAUAGCAGACUUAUGGGAUUUAUGGACAUUAGAAAUACAAUCUCCAGUGCUCUGCUGAACGGAGUUGAACUUAGCAUGCAAAUAAAUGUGCUUAAAUGUCUUGCAAAAUUAGGACCUGUGUAACUAAUUAUGAUUCAUCAAAGGAGUUUGUGGAGCUGUACUAAUUUGGCGAGUGAUCUCAUUAGAUACAAAGACAUUGGCAGCCUCAAAAUGCUAAUGAAAAGCAGCAAAGUUCACAUGAAUGUUUCCUAAAUUAACUCAGUGUUACUCCUGCAGUCACACAGGGUGAGUCUGCUCUGUUGCCCCUGCACCAAUACCACUUGCACUAAAUAAACUGAAGUGGAUUUGUUCUAAGUUUGCAUCAGCGUGUCCAAGAUCUUAGUCUGGGGCUUC